Neopelma chrysocephalum (saffron-crested tyrant-manakin) is the source of this 1460-nucleotide long non-coding RNA. RefSeq lists it as uncharacterized. The record is from RefSeq and is a predicted model, not a curated record. NCBI's taxonomy places the organism in Eukaryota, Metazoa, Chordata, Aves, Passeriformes, Pipridae. The transcript is spliced from 3 exons.
CGCCCGUGUCCGGUGCAGCAGAUCGGGAAGCAGAGCCCGGGGAGGUUGGGGCCCUCGGGCGGAACGCAGAGAAGCAUCCCCUGGAGCAGCUUUACCGGGAGGGCCCGCUGCUGGGGAGCGGCGGCUGCGGCAGCAUUUACUCGGGGACACGCCUCGCGGACGGCGCCCCGGAACACCAGAGUACAGCCCACCAGAGUGGAUCCUCUUCCACUGCUACCGUGGCCAUUCAGCAACAAUCGGGUCCCUGGGCAUCCGGCUCUAUGAGGUGGUCUGCAGGGACCUUCCUUUCUACAGUGAUGAGGACACUGUCAAGGGCCAGCUUUUCUUCCCAUCCACACGUCUCAUGGUAUUAAGAAGCCAAGAAAAGCAGACGGUUUCCCUGUGACUGUAGCAGAGUAGGGAGCAUAGCUGAUGAGAUGCUUCUGCUGGUGCUGGGGGAAAUUGUGGAGGAAGUGGCUGAGCGCUCUCCAUCAUAUUUGAGAAGUCUUGGCAGUCUGGUGAAGUUCCCACACACUGGAAAAGGGGAAACAUCCCCCCUGCAGCUUAGUGGCAUCGUGGUCCUCCUGCAAACUGGGGCACAACUGUGGUGUCCUGGAACAUGACAUCAAGCUGGAGAAUGUCAUCAUGGGAUAUAGGCACCACUGGGGCGAAGCUGAUUGGCUUUGUUUGCAGCACCUUCCUUGAGGACACUCUCUGCACCCAGAUGAAAAAAGAUGAAAGAUGAAAAAGACCCGGUGGGGGCUGGGGGGAUGCUCCUGGUCCCAGGCAUUGAGGGUUUAGCCUGGCUGGGCACCAGAGGUUCCCUGCUUUGCUGGGGUUGAGGAGAGUGGGAUUAAUUUUUCAGCUGGCUGCCAAGUAGCUUUUUGGUGGGGGAGAGGGUGGAUGUUAAGGAAUGGGAACCAUGCUGGCUCCUGGCCUUGGUGACAGCCUCUGCUAGCCACCCUGGCCCAGGCUGGGGAAGCCAGCCCGACAAAAACAUGGCAAGGUGGCAGAGGACAGAGUUCCACACCCAUGUGCCGGCCGUUUUCGUUUGCAGGCCCUUGAGGAAAGGCUGGGGCUGAGGCUGGGAAAGUCGGGGUUUUUCCCUGCCUAUGGGGAGCUUUAUUCCUUGCAUGGAGUAGUCAAACCUUCCCCAGGCCUGUGAUACAUUGAUAACAUUUAAUGUUAUUCUUGUUUGCGACUCUUGGUUUUAAUUUACUUUAAUGCAAUUGUUAUUUGUUUUUUAAAGGAAGAUUCUACCACGUGCCUGGACCAGACUGGGAAGUGCUGGGACUGUGGAGUGGAUCCACUGCCAGUGCUACCCUGGCCAUGACCCUUCAAGACAGACAAGAACAUCAUCUGGGAUCAGCUUCUCUUCCAGCAGUGGGACUCUUGAGGGGCCCAGCACCUCAUCACACUGAAACAGCACCAUCGGCCUGCAAAUUUGGGGGGCAGGGGGGUGUUUAUUUGCUGUCAAAAAU